RNAcentral lists this ribosomal RNA (476 nucleotides) under uncultured organism. RNAcentral's name for it is "partial 16S ribosomal RNA". It matches the Rfam family "Bacterial small subunit ribosomal RNA", at positions 334 to 801 of the family's 1533-position model. The record is from RNAcentral.
CACUCCUGCGGGAGGCAGCAGUGGGGAAUUUUGGACCAUGGGCGAAAGCCUGAUCCAGCAAUGCCGCGUGAGUGAAGAAGGCCUUCGGGUUGUAAAGCUCUUUUGUCAGGGAAGAAACGGUGAAAGCUAAUAUCUUUUGCUAAUGACGGUACCUGAAGAAUAAGCACCGGCUAACUACGUGCCAGCAGCCGCGGUAAUACGUAGGGUGCAAGCGUUAAUCGGAAUUACUGGGCGUAAAGCGUGCGCAGGCGGUUUUGUAAGUCUGAUGUGAAAUCCCCGGGCUCAACCUGGGAAUUGCAUUGGAGACUGCAAGGCUAGAAUCUGGCAGAGGGGGGUAGAAUUCCACGUGUAGCAGUGAAAUGCGUAGAUAUGUGGAGGAACACCGAUGGCGAAGGCAGCCCCCUGGGUCAAGAUUGACGCUCAUGCACGAAAGCGUGGGGAGCAAACAGGAUUAGAAACCCCGGUAGUCCCAUGAU